RNAcentral lists this small RNA (157 nucleotides) under Chelonoidis abingdonii (Abingdon island giant tortoise). RNAcentral's name for it is "TUC338 (ENSCABG00000015408.1)". Lineage: Eukaryota; Metazoa; Chordata; Testudines; Testudinidae. The record is from RNAcentral.
CUGACUGCUCCGAAAACUGAAACCAUCAAUUUGUCUUUAGAACAGGUCCAGCAUGGGCAGCAGCAGGGCACCAGGUCUCAACCCUGACCUGGAGGACAACCUCUUCAGGUGAGAAGGGAGUCCUGUUUCCAUGACUUAUUCCUCAAACAGGGGUGCG